This 115-nucleotide ribosomal RNA is filed under the name uncultured bacterium. RNAcentral describes it as "partial 16S ribosomal RNA". The record is from RNAcentral.
ACCGCUAUUAACGAUCAACUUUUCUUCCCAAUUGAAAGUGCUUUACAACCCUAAGGCCUUCUUCACACACGCGGCAUGGCUGCGUCAGGCUUUCGCCCAUUGCGCAAUAUUCCCC